RNAcentral lists this transfer RNA (84 nucleotides) under Vibrio phage LV6. RNAcentral's name for it is "tRNA-Lys". The record is from RNAcentral. Lineage: Duplodnaviria; Heunggongvirae; Uroviricota; Caudoviricetes.
GCACACCAUAGUUAGGCAAUCGGUGUAUCUUAAACCCUGACUCGCGGCUAGUAAGUAGCGUGUGGAUCGUAGCCAUGGUGCGCU